CCACGUUCGGACUGUAGUCUGCAACCCGACUACACGAAGCUGGAAUCGCUAGUAAUCGCGAAUCAGAAUGUCGCGGUGAAUACGUUCCCGGGUCUUGUACACACCGCCCGUCACACCAUGGGAGUCGGGAAUGCCCGAAGCCUGUGAGCUAACAGUAAUGAGGCAGCAGUCGAAGGUAGAGCCAAUGAUUGGGGUGAAGUCGUAACAAGGUACC
RNAcentral lists this ribosomal RNA (214 nucleotides) under uncultured bacterium. RNAcentral's name for it is "partial 16S ribosomal RNA". It matches the Rfam family "Bacterial small subunit ribosomal RNA", at positions 1287 to 1500 of the family's 1533-position model. The record is from RNAcentral.